This 83-nucleotide non-coding RNA is filed under the name unclassified sequences. RNAcentral describes it as "skipping-rope RNA". It matches the Rfam family "skipping-rope RNA". From Rfam's summary of the family: Firmicutes, Fusobacteria, AlphaProteobacteria, Spirochaetes. The record is from Rfam by way of RNAcentral.
GAUAUUUGAAGUAGAGAUUGUGCUGCUACACACCUAUUAAUAGGUCAAAAGAAAUGCAGGAAAGGGCACACCUGCCAAAUAUC